This 253-nucleotide ribosomal RNA is filed under the name uncultured bacterium. Its description in RNAcentral is "partial 16S ribosomal RNA". It matches the Rfam family "Bacterial small subunit ribosomal RNA", at positions 524 to 776 of the family's 1533-position model. The record is from RNAcentral.
UACAGAGGGUGCUAGCGUUGUUCGGAAUUACUGGGCGUAAAGGGCGCGUAGGCGGCUUGAUAAGUGAGAUGUGAAAUCUCGGGGCUUAACUCCGAAAGUGCAUUUCAAACUGUCAGGCUAGAGUGCAGUAGAGGUUGGUGGAAUUCCCAGUGUAGAGGUGAAAUUCGUAGAUAUUGGGAGGAACACCGAUGGCGAAGGCAGGUCUCUGGGCAUUAACUGACGCUGAGGAGCGAAAGCAUGGGGAGCGAACAGG